CCUCCCUUGUCCAUCCUUCCAUCCCUCCAUCCCUUGGUCCCUCCAUCCCCCCUCGUCCAUCCCUCUGUCCCUCCAUGCUCCGUCUCUCCUUCCUUCAUCCCUCGGUCCCUCCAUCCUCCCUUGUCCAUCCUUCCAUCCCUCCAUCCCUUGGUCCCUCCAUCCCUCUGUCCCCCCUUGUCCAUCCCUCCGUCCCUCUGUCCCCCCAUGCUCCAUCCCCCUUGUCCAUCCCCCCUUGUCCAUCCUUCCAUCCCUUGAUCCCUUCAUCUCUCCAUCCCUCUGUCCCGCCUUGUCCAUCCCUCCUGUCCAUCCCUCUGUCCCUCCAUGCUCCAUCCCUCCAUCCCUCCUUCCUUCAUCCCUAUGAUGUCCCUGGGGGUCUUCGGGGUCACAGGGACAUCCCCGGGUGUCCCCAGGGUGGUGGUGACGUCCCCAGGUGUCCCCAUGGUGGUGGUCACAUCCCCGGGCACCCCCGGGGUGACAGGGACAUCCCCAACUGCCCUCAGGGUCAUGGGGACGUUCCCAGGGGUCCCCACGGUGCUGGUGGCAUCCCCAGGGGUCCCCAAGGUGACAGGGACAUCCCCGGGUGUCCCCAGGGUGAUGGUGGCAUCCCCGGUGGUGACUCCAGCGUUCCCGGGGUGGCAGCAGGGAUGUCCCAGUCCCCGUGGUGGCAGGGACGUCCCCAUCCCCAUGGUGGCACCAGUGUCCUCGUGGUGGCAUGGAUGUCCCCAUCCUGUGGUGGCUCCGGUGUCCCUGGGGCAGCAGGGACGUCCCCAUCCCCAUGGUGGCACCACCAUCCCCGUGGUGGCACCCGCAUCCCCAGGGUGGUGGCAGGGACGUCCCAGUCCCCAGGGUGGCAGGGAUGUCCCCAUCCCCGUGGUGGCACCACCGUCCCCGUGGUGGCAGGGAUGUCCCUGUCCCCGUGGUGGCUCUGGUGUCCCAGUGGAGGCAUGAACGUCCCCAUCCCCGUGGUGGCACCACUGUCCCCGUGGUGGCAGGGAU
This 996-nucleotide long non-coding RNA is filed under the name Struthio camelus australis. RNAcentral's name for it is "lncRNA (ENSSCUG00000018187.1)". Lineage: Eukaryota; Metazoa; Chordata; Aves; Struthioniformes; Struthionidae. The record is from RNAcentral.